UACGUAGGGUGCGAGCGUUGUCCGGAAUUAUUGGGCGUAAAGGGCUCGUAGGCGGUUUGUCGCGUCGGGAGUGAAAACCUUGGGCUUAACUCAGGGCUUGCUUUCGAUACGGGCAGACUAGAGGUAUGCAGGGGAGAACGGAAUUCCUGGUGUAGCGGUGAAAUGCGCAGAUAUCAGGAGGAACACCGGUGGCGAAGGCGGUUCUCAGGGCAUGAUCUGACGCUGAGGAGCGAAAGUGUGGGGAGCGAACAGG
This 253-nucleotide ribosomal RNA is filed under the name uncultured bacterium. RNAcentral describes it as "partial 16S ribosomal RNA". It matches the Rfam family "Bacterial small subunit ribosomal RNA", at positions 524 to 776 of the family's 1533-position model. The record is from RNAcentral.